GAUGCAAAAGGCUGGACUGCACAGGACUAGCUUGAGCUAAAGUGGAACUAGGAUUUUCCCUUGAAUCCUUGCCUUGCUUGAAGCAAGAUAUUCAAGCAGUAAACCCUUCAUCUAUAAAGAAGUGGUGGGUCUCCAUGGACCCUCUGUGAAGGUCCUUGUUCCCUUUGUACACAGGACAGGCUGAAUGCAGGGCCUUACCCACGGAUGCAAGAGGAGACUAAAUCUGGAAAAACAACCAAGCAACCCAAACAAGCAAACAUGACAUGAGUACCUGAGUGCUGUGCUUGGUUUGUGAACAGCAGGGGCUGCUGGGCUAGUUCUGCUGUUCUUGUUGUUCUUCACCUUCACCUCUCCUGUGGGAGCAGCAUUUGAUCACCCCCCUCCACAUUGUGCCAACAGAUGCUUCUCCUGCUGCCCCUGAAAUACUUGGGCAGUAGCCCCCUGGCUUGUUUCUGAGGUAGGUUUUGUCACUGUGAGCAAAGCAGCCCCUGCUGCAGGUGGCCUCAGAGCCAGUGUCCCAGCUGCUUGCUCAGGACAGUUUGCAGGCAGUAUGGGGUGUGGUGGACUCUCCCAUGUCCUACCAAGGUUCCUGGCACCCUGCCCCAGCACUGGCUGCCCUGGGAGCUGCAGAACACACAAGUGAGUGGGGCCAGGGGGGUUCUUAAUGCAGGACAUGACUUGUGCUGUGCAAGUUUGUCUUAGUCUUACUGUGCUCUUCACUGAUGAGGAGCUCUUUGUCUCCUGCUAGUGCUGCUUCCCUUGAGGCAUUUUCCCCUUCUCUUUUUGCCAUCUUUACAGCUUGUUUUCCUUGUUUUCCUUCCUGCAUCUGCAAGGCUGCCUCCAACAAAGCCCUGGCAGACAAUCUUAUCUUGAAGCACAAUGAGUCCCGCUCCUUUUACUAGGAUAUGUGCCUGCUCAAACCCUUGGCUGGAGCAAGGCCCGGGUGGGGAGCACGGCCCCACAGGCAGCCCUGCCUCGGGCACUGCCAGCUGUGGCCUGGGCAGGGGCAGGGCAGAGCCAGGGCCCAGCAGGGAGGGCAGGAGGCUGCGGGGGCCCAGCUGUAAGCAGGCACUCGAGAGGCUUGCUCUGCGCGUGCCGUUUCUGACGUGGAAUGCUAUUAAUUAAACGGGGAGCAGAAAUGACUGAGGCUAUUUUUUCCCCCUUGGCUUAUUCACUUGAUUUGAAAGGCCUUUUAUUUAUUUAUGUAUUUAUUUCCCUCCCCCGCAUUUGCGGGUUUAGUAUUUUGGUGAUCAAAAUAGAUCUGCUCUGGAGCAUCUGUGGGAAAGGGCCUCACACUUACUUUGGGAGGGAAGGGGGCUUGAGAACUGUCACUGCUUAUGCCUUGAAGCAUAAGCAUGUUCCUGAUAGCUAGUGCACCUGAUACUAUAAAAGAAAGUGCAGAUGCAAAUAGCAACAAAAUUAAUUAAAGAAAAUGAGCUGUUCCUUUUGCCUGACCACACCUUGCAAACCAGGAAAUACUUCCUCUUUUGCAGAAACAGGAAGACUGUGCUGUCCUAGCUGGGGUAGUCUGCAAGUCUCAGGUAAUGUUCCCAGAGCUGGCUGCAUGCAGGAGAGGAACGCUGGGCAGGCACACUUAGCAGCUCCUUUCUCUGGAAGCUAUGGCUCUGAGAGUGGUCAGCCCUCUGACAUUGUCCUUGCAGAGGCAAGAAAAACUGAGUUAAAAGGGGCUUCAAUUCAACUCAGUUUUUACUCUUUUUCACAUUUGCAAGAGAAGACAAAAUCUGAAGGAGCUCUGCUGUUGGGCACGUUGUUGAUGCCUCCUUUCUCAUUACUAAGGGGAACUGUUAUAAGAAGUCUGAGCAAAACCUAUUCCCCCCACACUGUCAUUUAAAAUAACAAGGAACAAAUGCAUGUUGUAGACACCACUUCUGUCCUUGAGAUGGAUGCCUGAUACUUGUCAUGCUGAUGUAGAGUUCAAGGAUGGCCAGCAAUGAAACAGAGGCUGCUUCCUCUGGACCUCCACCAUGGAAAACUGAGUGCAGGUCUAUCAGGGCUUCAGAGGCUUUCAUUUUGUUCUCAAUGGGAAUUUUUAUUAUCUUCCUGACAGAAGUAUUGAGCUGAUUGGAGAAAUAUUUUUAGGUGCAAUCCUAACUGUCUGCAAGAAAUUAAAGACCGAAAAGGAAAAGGUGGCUUUUGAAAACAAACCUGACUUUCACUGCUAACUAUCCUGUGUAGUAAGUGACUAAAAAACACCAACCAACAACAGAAAAAGAAAAAAAUCCCCAACAACCCAGAACCAGAAGGCAAAAGGAAGGUAAGAGUAGCAGGAGAGAGUGUUGGAGAUUCCAUGAGCUCCGUUCCCAGCCGCCUGUCGUGAGUCUGGGAAGGCUCAGGAAUGAAACCCUGCAGGUCUGUGGUGAUGACAUACUCAUCUGCUAUGGACCAGAAGAUGAUUCUGACACAGCUCAUUACGUUUCUAUUUCUGACGACGUCCAUUGUUGGAUUUAAUGAAUAAGUGAUGUUUUGAACUGAUAAAAACCCUGCAGCUAAUUUCCCAUUUUAUGUUGUGAUGAACAAGCCAAGAGAUUCAGACAAGCUGUAAAAGGCCUUUAUCACAUGAUUUCAGACUUAAUUCAAAGUGGGAGGUGCUUGUCAAAGCUAACUUGAAAGUUUCUCUUACCUCCACCCCCAAAGUGGACAUAAGAUUCCCACAGACUAAGCAGUGUUAUCUCUAAAACAAGACAGCAAACUACCAACACUGUUGGUAGUUCAUUAUCACAGGGAAAUAUAACGUAUUAUGAAAUGUAAAAAUGGUGAUUAAUUAUUUCACUGUUAAUCCUUUUAGAGACAAAAUACUGCCUUUGUUUAUCCCACAGUGUGCAUCUUCCUCCUCCUUCUCCCUGCAUACCCAAGGCCAACCUGUCCCAACCCACUUGCUUAUGUUUCCAGGCUUGAUCCUCACACCUUUGGUCAUGCAGUUAUGGGCUCCCCAUAGGAAAUCACUUGCUACACCAAAAUCAGGGGAUGUGAGCAUAAAAAAAGAAGUGAAACAUCAAAAUAAAUCUUUCUGGGGACUGCCACAAAAGUGGUGCAAUUAAUUUUUGCCUUACAUUUCUUAAAAGUCUGCCAUCAAAAGGUAAACAAAGCUGCCACAAAACUUCUUUUCUGAUUUAGGAUGUUGAUAUCAAAGACUGUCAUGACUUCAUUGCACAGUGUGGUUCACCUUAGAGUAGAUUACACAACAGCCUGGUAGAGUUGGAAAAAUUCAGGUCUGAAAACAUUUACUGCUUCAUAGUCAUAAAUGUUUUGGGGUUUUUUCGAAAGCUCAACAGUAGGUGCUCUUUUCUGUGCCUCAGAGACAAAGGAAAAUGAAGCCAUAACAGCCCUCAGACAGAUUUUUAUGAGUCUAAAGACCAAAAAUAAUGUCUGGCACAGAUUAUUUAACUGGACUAAAGGCGAAAUUAAUUCCCUUAGCAGCAGGGAAUUUGAUUUACCAUUUCCUUAAGGCUUUUGGUAGAACUGGGAGCAUGAGAGCCUGGUCUGGUAUGUGAUGCCACAGGAGGUUUUGCCACUCUCACAUCCUGACAGGACAGGCUGACCAUUGUGGAUAGGACUUUUCCUGCCUGUCAGAAAGAACAGAAAGAAAUGGACUUUACUCCACAAAGGACUUCUCUGGGAUUUCAGUCAUGGAUUGGUGUCCCUCUGUCCCUCCUGUGUAGAAUCUGUCUUCCCAAGAUAUUACCAAGCCCCGGAAAAGAAGCAAAACCCAACAAUAAUUCAGACAAGAUGUAAGUGCUGCUGGUAGUUUGUAAAAAGGCUCUGAAGGAGAGGGUGCCUUUCCCUAUUCCCAAGGAAACAUGGCCCUGACUGAGGAAGGUACUUUUGAGUUCAGAUUGCUUCUGAAGUCUCCAGAGAGUUCGUCGUUUUUCCUUAUGCAUAUGUGCCUGUCUCCCUGUAACUGGGAGCCACAGCCACCUUCCCUACCCUGACUCCAAGGGGACUUAUGGGGGUGUGUUAAUGCCACUCUGCAGCACCCAGGAUUGGACACUGAUGGGAAAAUCUAUAUAAAACAAGUAACUGAACACUUCCAAAGGUAAUGACGUCUGCAUGUGAUUACUUGUUUGGCUGCACUGGCUGAAGCUGUAGCUGCUAACUCAGCAGACUGUAAGUAGACACUAUUGUCUUUUCAGUGAGUUCUGGCUGCAGUUCAGGAUGUUAAUAAUAUCUAGAGAGCUACAGGAGGCUUGGAUCCCAUCUAUCAGGAACCACCUCUCUCUCCACAUGCAAUCACAGCAGCAAGGCUGGGGAGAUGAUCUUGCUGACAGUUCCCUAAUUUAGCAAUGAGUGGCAGGCAUUUGUUAGGGAGAUCUGUACUGAGUCCAUUAUUUAUUAAGCUAUCACUUAGGAUCUAGAACAGGUGUAUUUAUUUGUAGGGAAGUCUGUAAAAAUCUUGAUGGCUGUUCUAACAUAUGUUUAUGCAUCAAAGUCAAUGCUAGGGGGAUGCUUUAUUUUUAAAUUAGGAACAAAAUAUUCCCUAAAAGCUAAAUAUCUGGACAUGUUGUUAUAUUCUUUCCCCAACACUUAUGGCAGCACUGGGAGAACACCCCAGCCAAGCUGACGGGCAGCCAAAUAUAAUUUAUGGUUUGUUUUAAACUGAUUUGUUGACUUCAUGAAAGGCCCUGUCAAAAAGAACAGUCCCCCGAGUCCUAACAAUGAUAAGAGUUAUAUUGCAUCAGCACUGAAAAACUCUUGGAUAACAGUGAGCCUACCCUGAGAAAUCUUUUUAAAGUGUCUGAACAUUGGAUUUUCUGAAAAGAAAUGAAAUUCAAGCUAUUGUUUCAUCGUUCUUUUCAGUUUUCUUCAUUCUUUAUUCAUCUGAUUUUCCACUGAUUGGAAUACUCUCUUGGUAGCAUGAAAAUAGUUAUUUCAGUUAAUUAAAAAUAAAGAUGUGUGUUGUUUAAGGGA
Prinia subflava (tawny-flanked prinia) is the source of this 4926-nucleotide long non-coding RNA. RefSeq lists it as uncharacterized. NCBI's taxonomy places the organism in Eukaryota, Metazoa, Chordata, Aves, Passeriformes, Cisticolidae. The record is from RefSeq and is a predicted model, not a curated record. The transcript is spliced from 2 exons.